CACGUAGUUAGCCGGGGCUUCUUAGUCAGGUACCGUCAUUUUCUUCCCUGCUGAUAGAGCUUUACAUACCGAAAUACUUCAUCGCUCACGCGGCGUCGCUGCAUCAGGGUUUUCCCCCAUUGUGCAAUAUUCCCCACUGCUGCCUCCCGUAGGAGUCUGGGCCGUGUCUCAGUCCCAAUGUGGCCGUCCACCCUCUCAGGCCGGCUACUGAUCGUCGGCUUGGUGGGCCGUUACCCCACCAACUACCUAAUCAGACGCGGGUCCAUCUUACACCACCUCAGUUUUUACCACUGUACCAUGCAGUACUGUGAUCUUAUGCGGUAUUAGCAGUCAUUUCUAACUGUUAUCCCCCUGUGUAAGGCAGGUUACCCACGCGUUACUCACCCGUCCGCCGCUCAGUCACAAAAGUCUUCCUCCGAAGAUUCUGACUUAAGCGCUUCGCUCGACUUGCAUGUGUUAGGCACGCCGCCAGCGUUCAUCCUGAGCCAGGAUCAAACUC
This 499-nucleotide ribosomal RNA is filed under the name uncultured Dorea sp. Its description in RNAcentral is "partial 16S ribosomal RNA". The record is from RNAcentral. Lineage: Bacteria; Bacillati; Bacillota; Clostridia; Lachnospirales; Lachnospiraceae.